UCCGUAGGUGAACCUGCGGAAGGACUUU
RNAcentral lists this ribosomal RNA (28 nucleotides) under Acanthopleura tenuispinosa. Its description in RNAcentral is "partial 18S rRNA". The record is from RNAcentral. Lineage: Eukaryota; Metazoa; Mollusca; Polyplacophora; Chitonida; Chitonidae.